CAAUAGCGUAUAUUAAAGUUGUUGCAGUUAAAAAGCUCGUAGUUGGAUUUGUGUGUUUUGAUUGUGGUCUGAAAAUUUCAGCACUGCGUUUCAAAGUACAUUAUUUGUAGCUCGGCGGUCUGGCAUUAAGUUGUUGGGUCGUGCAGACUACAUCGUUUACUGUGAAAAAAUUAGAGUGUUUAAAGCAGGCGUUUGUUUUUGAAUACAUUAGCAUGGAAUAAUAAGAUAUGACUCGAAUGGUCUAUUUUGUUGGUUGCGAACCGAGGUAAUGAUUAAUAGGGAUAGUUGGGGGUAUUCAUAUUUAAUUGUCAGAGGUGAAAUUCUUGGAUUUAUGAAAGGUGAACAACUGCGAAAGCAUUUACCAAGGAUGUUUUCAUUA
Molecule: ribosomal RNA, 379 nt
Filed under: uncultured eukaryote
Lineage: Eukaryota
Description: partial 18S ribosomal RNA
Rfam family: Eukaryotic small subunit ribosomal RNA
Source: RNAcentral